UUCACACCGGGGCUAGGGGCGUGGCGCGGCGGGCCGGGCCGGGGUUGGGAAAGUCCUGUGCAAGGGGGUUUUGACCGGGAUGAGGCCAGAGACGGGCGGAGGCGGAGGCGGCAGGAAUUAGGAGGAAGGACAUGGAUUUGGAAAGCCGGGGGUACCUUGAGGAGCGGCUCACCCAGCAGCUGAGGCUGCUCCCGGUGCCAGGGCCCCAGAACUGGGCCCAGCCCCCCAACUCUCCUGGCGUGAAUUCAGCCUCCAUUCAACCCCACGUCUUCAGGCAUAAAACACACGGGGGCCAGCAGCUAGCAGAGGGAGAGACGCAUCUCCUGGGAGUAGGUGCAAUCGGGACUCCAUACCAGGGCCCCAGGUAGAACGGACCUGCCGUGAUCUCUCUGGAAGCUGCCACGUGAGCUGCCAGGCAGGCUGGGCUGUCCAUAGUGUGCCAGAAAGCCAGCUCUCACGGGCCAGGCGGCCCAUGGACAGCAGCACCCAUGAUGACAGCAGGGAUGGGCCUUGCAGUCAGAACAGAAUGCAGAUGUUGGCAAGGCGAGCGUUUCUGGAGGGCUCGAGCAUCCAGGACUUCGGGUAAAAAGCUGAUGCCCUGAAUACAGGCCAAACAGCACCGUCUGCUUUUCCCGGCCCACCCCUUUCUUGGAACGUAAAGCCGUGUAUGAUUCUCAGAAAGUUCCAGAAGCUCCCUGCACGGACUAGUUGCCAUCCCUCCCUCCUCCGCACCCCCUGACUCUCUCCCCUGCUCUGUGCCCUGUGCCUGAAAGACUGACCACCUUUAAGGCAGCAGAACUGGGCUCCCUGGACCUGCAGCCUCUGCGGGGUCAGCUGAUGGAGACGGGCUGUGGGAGGGCAAAGACCGCUUGGUCCUCAUUCACUCUGGUUUCCACACCUCCUGCCAGGCCUGAGGGUUCUGGUGACACCCCUCUAGGGAGGCCACAGCUCUCCCCAGCCCCUGGGAUAGCUCUUCUCCGUGUCCCUUCAGGGGAGUUCACACCCUCCUUGCAGGUUUCCCUUCGCCCUGCCGGGGUGUGUCUGCCAUCGCUCCCCCCAGCAGACCCCAACUCACACAUACUUGGCACCACUCUCCUCACCAGUAGGAGGAAAGAGGGAGAAAACUUGCCCCUAGACGAUCGUCCUGGGACAAGGCCCAGUCUGGGUAACACAUGGAGAGGAACCUGGGCUUGAAUCUUAGUUCUGCCACAAGAUGAGAAAAAUCUAAGGCUCCGAAGGAUGAUGAGCUUUACCACCUGACCCACAGCUAACCAGCAGGAUUCCAGCCCCAGUUCUGUCCCCAGGCUUCGUCCCCACAGGGAGGAAUGUACCCUCCCCGCAAUCAUGCGGGGCUGCUGCCCCCGCUGUAUCUGGAGCUUCGGGCGGGGGAGUGUUGGAGGUCAGGGGGCAAGGGCAGGGUUGGUGGGCCGGCCAAGCCCGUGGUAUUUGGGCCUGAACCGCAGAGGCCUGGAGCAGCACCCUGGGGGGAAACCAGGGGACAGCCGGUACUCCCCUUGAGUGGGGAGCUGGGCCCAGGGUGCCUGAAGUUUUCUGAGAGAUGGGGGAGGGGUGGCAGAGAAAGAGGCACAAACCAAUCAAAGUAAUAAUAACAAUAACAACAGGACUGGCUCCAGGGCCAAAAGAGCCCCGGCCUUGGGGCUGAGGGCCGAGAAGGCUGGCCAAGGCUAUGGCCGCCCCCACUGGAGGAGGCGCCCAGCUCUGGCCUUGCCCUGGACAUGGGCGAUCCUGUCCAAAGUGCAGAAGUCGCCUGCAGGUCUCCCAGCAUGAGCUCCGAGAUGCCAGCCUGGCCUGCCAGUGCACCAGGCCCUGAGGCAGUUCUCAGAGAACACGGGGAAGGGGGCAAGGAAAGGGAAGCUGGGGAGAUGAGAGGGAGGGCAGGAGCUCUAUGCACAGUGUGAGAAACGGACUCCUCAGGGGGCGCCUGGGUGGCUUAGUCGGAUAAGCCUUCAGCUCAGGUCAUGACCCCCAGGGUCCUGGGAUUGAGCCCCGCAUCGGGCUCCCUGCUCCGCGGAGAGUC
Molecule: long non-coding RNA, 2038 nt
Organism: Zalophus californianus (California sea lion)
Lineage: Eukaryota; Metazoa; Chordata; Mammalia; Carnivora; Otariidae
Exons: 5
Source: RefSeq, a predicted model, not a curated record